RNAcentral lists this ribosomal RNA (141 nucleotides) under Xanthomonas citri pv. citri. RNAcentral describes it as "partial 23S ribosomal RNA". It matches the Rfam family "Bacterial large subunit ribosomal RNA", at positions 1 to 132 of the family's 2925-position model. Lineage: Bacteria; Pseudomonadati; Pseudomonadota; Gammaproteobacteria; Lysobacterales; Lysobacteraceae. The record is from RNAcentral.
GGGUUGUGAGGUUAAGCGACUAAGCGUACACGGUGGAUGCCCUGGCAGUCAGAGGCGAUGAAGGACGUGCUAAUCUGCGAAAAGCGCCGGCGAGGUGAUAUGAACCUUUGACCCGGCGAUAUCCGAAUGGGGAAACCCAGU